Molecule: ribosomal RNA, 900 nt
Filed under: uncultured bacterium
Lineage: Bacteria
Description: bacterial SSU rRNA
Rfam family: Bacterial small subunit ribosomal RNA
Source: RNAcentral
AGUCGAGGGGUAACAUUGUAGCUUGCUACAGAUGACGACCGGCGCACGGGUGCGUAACGCGUAUAGAAUCUACCUUAUACUGAGGGAUAGCCUUUGGAAACGAAGAUUAACACCUCAUAGUAUUACAAAAUCGCAUGAUUUAGUAAUUAAAGGUUACGGUAUAAGAUGACUAUGCGUCCUAUUAGCUAGAUGGAGUGGUAACGGCACCCCAUGGCAACGAUAGGUAGGGGCCCUGAGAGGGGGAUCCCCCACACUGGUACUGAGACACGGACCAGACUCCUACGGGAGGCAGCAGUGAGGAAUAUUGGACAAUGGAGGCAACUCUGAUCCAGCCAUGCCGCGUGCAGGAAGACUGCCCUAUGGGUUGUAAACUGCUUUUAUACAGGAAGAAACACUGCUACGUGUAGCAGCUUGACGGUACUGUAAGAAUAAGGAUCGGCUAACUCCGUGCCAGCAGCCGCGGUAAUACGGAGGAUCCAAGCGUUAUCCGGAAUCAUUGGGUUUAAAGGGUCCGUAGGUUGAUAAUUAAGUCAGAGGUGAAAUCUUGCAGCUCAACUGUAAAAUUGCCUUUGAUACUGGUUAUCUUGAGUUAUUAUGAAGUAGUUAGAAUAUGUAGUGUAGCGGUGAAAUGCAUAGAUAUUACAUAGAAUACCAAUUGCGAAGGCAGAUUACUAAUAAUCAACUGACACUGAUGGACGAAAGCGUGGGGAGCGAACAGGAUUAGAUACCCUGGUAGUCCACGCCGUAAACGAUGGAUACUAGCUGUUCGGACUUCGGUCUGAGUGGCUAAGCGAAAGUGAUAAGUAUCCCACCUGGGGAGUACGUUCGCAAGAAUGAAACUCAAAGGAAUUGACGGGGGCCCGCACAAGCGGUGGAGCAUGUGGUUUAAUUCGAUGAUAC